UGGGGGAUAUUGCACAAUGGGCGAAAGCCUGAUGCAGCGACGCCGCGUGGGGGAUGAAGGCCUUCGGGUUGUAAACUUCUUUUGCUCUGAACAAGGCAUGCCUUUGGGGUGUGUUGAGUGUAGGGGUUGAUUAGCGCCGGCUAACUACGUGCCAGCAGCCGCGGUAAUACGUAGGGCGCGAGCGUUGUCCGGAAUUAUUGGGCGUAAAGGGCUUGUAGGUGGCUGGUUGCGUCUGUCGUGAAGGCUCAUGGCUUAACUGUGGGUUUGCGGUGGGUACGGGCUCGCUUGAGUGCAGUAGGGGAGGCUGGAAUUCCUGGUGUAGCGGUGGAAUGCGCAGAUAUCAGGAGGAAUACCGGUGGCGAAGGCGGGUCUCUGGGCUGUUACUUACGCUGAGGAGCGAAAGCGUGGGGAGCGAACAGG
Molecule: ribosomal RNA, 420 nt
Filed under: Fusobacteriota bacterium
Lineage: Bacteria; Fusobacteriati; Fusobacteriota
Description: Fusobacteria bacterium partial 16S ribosomal RNA
Rfam family: Bacterial small subunit ribosomal RNA
Source: RNAcentral